AAAGCCUGAUCCAGCGACGCCGCGUGGGGGAUGACGGCCUUCGGGUUGUAAACCUCUUUUGGUCGGGACGAAGCGCAGGUGACGGUACCUAUAGAAGAAGGACCGGCCCACUACAUGCCACCCGCCGCGGUAAUACGUACGGUCCGAGCGUUGUCCGGAAGUACUGGGCGUAAGGAGCUCGUAGGUGGUUUGUCACGUUGGUCGUGAAAACCCACAACUCAGUUGUGGGCGUGCGGGCUAUACAUGCAGACUACAGUACUGCAGGGGAGACUGGAAUUCGUGGUGUAGCGGUGGAAUGCGCAGAUAUCAAGAGGAACACCGGUGGGGAAGGCGGUUCUCUGGUCAUGAACUGACGCUGAGGAACCAAGGCGUGCGGAGCGAACAGGAUUAGAUGCCCUGGUACUCCACGCCCUAAACGGGGGGUACUAGGUGUGGGUUUCCUUCCUUGGGAUCCGUGCCGUAUUUAACGCAUUAAGUACCCCACCAGGGGAGUACGGCCGCAAGGCUAAAACUCAGACAAAUUGACGGGGGCCCGCAGAAGCGGCGGAGCUUGUGGAUUACUUCGAUGCAACGCGUACAACCUUACGUGGGUUUGACAUGCACACGACGUGACUAGAUCUACGUAUUCCCUGUG
This 634-nucleotide ribosomal RNA is filed under the name Actinomycetes bacterium. RNAcentral's name for it is "bacterial SSU rRNA". It matches the Rfam family "Bacterial small subunit ribosomal RNA", at positions 378 to 1023 of the family's 1533-position model. Lineage: Bacteria; Bacillati; Actinomycetota; Actinomycetes. The record is from RNAcentral.